GCCCGCCUUAGCUCAAUCGAAUAGAGCGUCAGACUCUUAUAUCUUGUUAAUCAACUGAGCAAUCUGAAGGCUGCGAGUUCUACCCUCGCGGUGGGCU
This is a non-coding RNA of Marasmius tenuissimus, 97 nucleotides long. The record is from the annotation of a GenBank genome assembly. NCBI's taxonomy places the organism in Eukaryota, Fungi, Basidiomycota, Agaricomycetes, Agaricales, Marasmiaceae.